GCUCAAACUCUCGUGCGGCUAGUAUAUUUUUUGCUGCCGCUUAUCCCUCUAAGAAGAAGACUGCGAAGCGGACGCCAGUUUCCGGCGCCGCGGGGCGCGCCGCCGGCGGCGCUAACCGACCGACGGUGGAGGCCCGCACGACGACCGGGUUUCGGGGAACCCGCGCCCCGCAUCGCCGCGAACGACAACGGGGGCAACGGGGUUGAGAUCCGUCGACUAUUUAGCAGGCUAGAGUCUCGUUCGUCUAUUCUGUCUAGCACUAAACCCAGAACAGAUCAAUCACCAUUUACAAAUGAUUCUCCCUAGCCAAGAGAACUAAAGCCUACUGUCUUGGGACGCCUUAUGCACCCCCUGACUUACCUGGAAGGUCGCGAGAAAGGAGCUGAUAACCUAUCCUGCGUCAAUCCUCUUUGGGAACAACUACCAGCUUUGAGUUAACCAUCUCGCCGGGAACCAUUGCAGUUCCUGAGCCCUGGUUGAGAUUUUCCCCCGUGUAGAGAUCAAGAGUUUCUUCCAUAAGAGAUGGGUGCUUGUCUCUGACUUGAAGGAGAAUUCACCUGCGUUGAUGUUACACGUACUUCCGCUACUACUCUCUUCGGAUGAAGAGUUAGUCUAACAACGAGCCGGGCUGGCUAUGGAUUGGGAAGGGAAAGGAGAGGACCAAAGUCUUUGAGUACAGUAUGGUUGCAAAGCUGAAACUUAAAGGAAUUGACGGAAGGGCACCACCAGGAGUGGAGCCUGCGGCUCAAUUUGACUCAACACGGGGAAACUCACCAGGCCAGGACACCGGAAGGAUUGACAGAAUGAAGGCUCUUUCUCGAUUCGGUGGGUGGUGGUGCAUGGCCGUUCUUAGUUGGUGGAGUGAUCUGUCUGGUUAAUUCCGAUAACGAACGAGACUCUAGCCUGCUAAAUAGUCGACGGAUCUCAACCCCGUUGCCCCCGUUGUCGUUCGCGGCGAUGCGGGGCGCGGGUUCCCCGAAACCCGGUCGUCGUGCGGGCCUCCACCGUCGGUCGGUUAGCGCCGCCGGCGGCGCGCCCCGCGGCGCCGGAAACUGGCGUCCGCUUCGCAGUCUUCUUCUUAGAGGGAUAAGCGGCAGCAAAAAAUAUACUAGCCGCACGAGAGUUUGAGCCAUAACAGGUCUGUGAUGCCCUUAGAUGUUCUGGGCCGCACGCGCGCUACAAUGGAGAGUUCAGCGAGCUGUCCCUGCUCCGAGAGGAGCGGGUAACCUCGUGAAAGCUGUCCUUAAAGGGGAUUGGGGCUUGCAAAUGUUCCCCAUGAACGAGGAAUUCCCAGUAGGCGCAAUUCACCAGAUUGCGCCGAUUUAGUCCCUGCCCUUUGUACACACCGCCCGUCGCUACUACCGAUUGAAUGGUCUAGUGAGGGCACCGGACUGGCGCCCUUGGAGCCGCUACCGCCUCGGCGGGCAGCGCCCUCGGGUCGACGGAAAGGUGUCCAAGCUGGGUCAUUUAGAGGAAGUAAAAGUCGUAACAAGGUUUCCGUAGGUGAACCUGCGGAAGG
This 1519-nucleotide ribosomal RNA is filed under the name Penaeus vannamei (Pacific white shrimp). RNAcentral describes it as "bacterial SSU rRNA". The stretch from base 672 to 1518 matches the Rfam family "Eukaryotic small subunit ribosomal RNA", at positions 1118 to 1823 of the family's 1831-position model. The record is from RNAcentral. Lineage: Eukaryota; Metazoa; Arthropoda; Malacostraca; Decapoda; Penaeidae.